AAGGCAAGGGAAGGAGUGAUGGAGUUCCUAUUGAUGAAUCAUCCAUUGGACUGCCCAAUUUGUGAUCAGGGUGGAGAGUGUGAUCUUGAGGACCAGUCUAUGGCUUUUGGUUCUGAUCGAGGUUGUUUUACUGAAAUGAAGAGAUCGGUUGUUGAUAAGAACCUAGGCCCAUUGGUCAAAACUGUUAUGACUCGAUGUAUUCAGUGUACAAGGUGUGUAAGGUUUGCAACUGAGUAGUUGGUGUUCAGGAUCUUGGCAUGCUGCGUCGUGGCAGUGGAGAAGAGAUUGGAACUUAUGUAGAGAAACUAAUGACAAGUGAACUUUUAGGGAAUGUGAUAGAUAUUUGUCCUGUAGGAGCCCUCACUUCAAAACCUUUUGCCUUUAAAGCUUGAAACUGGGAGUUGAAGGGAACAGAGAGCAUUGACAUCACUGAUGCUGUUGGCUCAAACAUCCGAAUUGACAGUAGAGGUCCAGAGGUCAUGCGCAUUCUGCCACGAUUGAAUGAGGACGUCAAUGAAGAAUGGAUAUCAGAUAAGACACGUUUCUUUUAUGAUGGUCUGAAGAGGCAGAGGCUAAAUGACCCCGUGAUUCAUGGUGCAGAUGGGCGCUUCAAGACUUUAAGCUGACGGGAUGCACUUGCUGUGGUCGCGAGGUCAUGCACCAAGCUAAACCAGAGGAAAUUGUUGGGGUUGCUGGUAAGUUGUCUGAUGCAGAAUCCAUGAUGGCACUAAAAGAUUUUUUGAACAAGAUGGGGUCAAAUAAUAUUUGGUGCGAAGGAAAUGGCCCCCCAAACCCAAAUGCUGACCUGCGUUCUGGAUAUAUCAUGAACACUACCAUCAGUGGGUUGGAGAGA
Long non-coding RNA from Olea europaea var. sylvestris, 853 nucleotides. RefSeq lists it as uncharacterized. The record is from RefSeq and is a predicted model, not a curated record. The transcript is spliced from 3 exons. NCBI's taxonomy places the organism in Eukaryota, Viridiplantae, Streptophyta, Magnoliopsida, Lamiales, Oleaceae.